Scatophagus argus is the source of this 3576-nucleotide RNA transcript. It is a transcript of the gene named platelet-derived growth factor alpha polypeptide b, with no coding region annotated. The transcript has 7 exons. The record is from RefSeq and is a predicted model, not a curated record. NCBI's taxonomy places the organism in Eukaryota, Metazoa, Chordata, Actinopteri, Scatophagidae.
CGCUCUGACUCCAUUCACUUCAGAGUCUCACACAGCUAAGGACCUGUGCAGUCUGCUGCAAGACAGGCUCUGGAUAGCACAACACGGACAACUGCCUUGUGGUUUUCUGAGAGGAUUUUCUCGUUUGGAUUAUGUUCUUUUAGGGCUAUUAAAUACUAUCUUAGACAAAUAGUGGUGCGUCUUACUUCUGACUAAUUCUGAACAGACUGAUAAAUAUAUCAGUAAACUGGGCUGAAGUUUGAAUGCUAUUUGUUAGAUGGUGAAGGACAAGUGCAGUGCGCGUCAGACUUGUCCCUUGGGAUUGUCCCACUUGCGCCUGAGGAGCUAUGCCGAGCUGCCGCACAGGGUUUGUUCAAGAGGACGCAGUCCAGUGUGAAUAACGAGAGUCAACUUCCAGCCUCUUCAGCAUUUCACUGUUACAAGCAAGCGCAGCAGAGCCCGCUGAGCAGCUCUGACACCCAGGUUUCUCUCCCCGAGGGGAUGGUUGUGGAUCCUGUGGGGCCAGGAGCGAUUCUGCGGCUCCUACAGAAUAGCACCUUUUUCUUGUACGGGGUUAACUCUAAAUUAAAGGGAGAUGAGAGCCUCACUUUGUUUCCUGCUGUGGACGACGUACCUGCUGCUGGUCACCUCUGAGGAAGUGGAGUUUCCCCAGGAGCUGAUAGACAGGCUGUCCCACAGUGAAAUCCACAGCAUCAGCGACCUCCAGCGGCUACUGGACAUUGACUCCGUAGGUACGGGAAACGAUGUUAUUGAGGAGCCGAAGCACCACAAGCACCACAACCACCAUAAGAACUACUCCCGUCAUCCUGGUUACUACAAUGACCUGAAGAGCUCCCAGCUCCACAGCCGACGCAAGAGGAGCAUUGUAGAGGAAGCGGUCCCAGCGGUGUGUAAGACACGGACGGUGAUCUACGAGAUCCCCAGGAGCCAGGUGGAUCCCACGUCUGCCAACUUCCUGAUAUGGCCACCCUGUGUGGAGGUGAAGCGGUGCACGGGCUGCUGCAACACAAGCAACAUGCGUUGCCAUCCUUCCCGCAAGCACCACCGUACCGUUAAGGUAGCAAAGGUGGAGUAUGUGAGGAGGAGACCCAAGCUGAAAGAGGUCUUUGUGAGGUUAGAAGACCACCUGGAGUGUGUGUGCACGUCGCAACAUCAUGUGGUGGAGCACUCAGAUGCAGAAACAGGCCACCGUAGGGCUAAAGGUAAAAAAAGGAAACCUAAAAAACUAAGACCCAGCAAGGAUUUAUUGGCAACAUAAUAAAGUUGCACUCAUUACCCAAAGUCCACUGGCAAGCUGUGAAAGGAACAGUGGACGUGAGGUGAGACCAAUCAGAACAAGGGACUUCAGCGUGGGAGGGACCUAAGUAGAGGACGCCGCCAACAGGAGACCUGCGUUGUCCCCACUGCCAUGCAACCUUCGUUUAAAAAACUUUUCCGUAAAGAAGACUGAAAAAAUAGACAACAGACAAAAAUUUAAAAAAAGAUGCCAAAGGUGCUUUUUCUUAAAAACAGUAACCAGUGAUGAUGACUUCCUCUGUGGUAUGCCACCGACACAGAUAACAACACCCGCUGAAGCCGCUGAUCAAGAAGAAAAGAGAAAGAUGCCGUAGAGCUGCAGAAAGAUCGAAGGGAGAUGAUGAAAGGGAUUUGUGUUGAACAUUUUGACAGACUUUGUUUGAACAAGAUGCACAACAGAAAUGGCUAUCAAACAUUUGGAUCAAGCUUUGGUGGGAAUCUGAUGCUCAGACUCCAAAGCAGCGGUGGAUGACCUCCAACUGGGCAGCAUAAAAGUGCCCUGCCCUGUUUAAAUGACUCUUUCGUACACAAGAAGAAAGAAAGAUAGGUGACAUAGGAACAACAAUGGAAAGAGAAAGAGAAAGACAAAUGGAGGUGUUUUUUUUUUUAAAGACUCAAUGGAGUAUCAAACAUUUUGAGAUUUUGGAUGUUUGCUCAGAGUAAAAAGGAAAUCUUCUGAGAGAUCCCUGGUGGCCUCUGACUUUUUUUUUUUUUUUGCUAUGUACAGUUAAAUUUGAGAAGGAAGAUGCGCCGCUACUUACAAACUAUUUAUACGUGUGGACGUUUGCUUUCUGUCUCUUCCAGUACAAAAAGAAAAAAGAAACAACAGAAACAUGUUUUCAUGAUUUUUUUGGAGAAAUGCAAAAGUUGUGUUUGGUCCGGUUGUUUGUAACCAUCAGUAUCACAAUCUCAGUGUCAUUUUUUUUCUAGUCAAUGUUAUUCUUGUCAUCCAUGUUUCUUAUUAUAUUACAGUAUAUCUGAAUGAUGUCAAGUCUUGUAUAUGGUUUGGAUAUAUGUGUGCAAGGAGGAGAUGCGAGAGUCAGUACAGGAAAAUGCUUUAUUUUUGUUAUGAAAUAUAUUAAGCUUACUCAUAUCCAAGCAGGAAUUAUGUUUAUUUCUUUUGUUGUGGUUGAAUGCCUGUAUUUAAUCCAUUGGAAAAGAUGCAAAAUUGUAGGCAGUGGGUGGUAGCCCAUGAGCUGUGAAGAGGAGUUCUACAGUGGCUCAGACACGGCAACUUCAUAGUAAGUGUCCAUAGUGCAGCUUAUUCUACAGCCAUGAUAAACACUGGCCUGUCCUUUAUCUAACAAGUCACAUUUAACACAAAAAUUCAAACAGCACAUUAAAGUGUGUUCAUGCCAACCAUGAAAGAAAUGUUAGAACUCUUGUGUGCAUGUGGGCUUGUAUGAGAUGGGAUAGACAGGGCGUGUGUUUGUGCUCACACACAGUUUCUCUCCAACAUGAGGCUAUUUUUCACCCAUAUCACAGUAACAUUGAUAAGGAAGAUGCCUGCUUCACAAGCACAAAUUGUGUGCCUGCAAAGAGCAAAGUCCGCCUUAAAGAGUGAACAAGCAAGCAAAAUCGACAAGUGCAUGAAUGGAGUCCUUGUCUGGCCAGACCUUACUCUUCUGUCGACAAGAGAACCAUUCUGUGAUCACUCCACCCUGCGAAGGUGCUCGCACCUUAUGCAGCUUCAUGCCAUCAGGACAGAUGGUGAUGAUGGGUGUGCCAAGGUGGCCUGAAAACAGUGCAGUGCUGGCCUGGACCUGAACAAUGACUUCCUGAACAGUUCCUGUAAGGGUGAUGAAUGUGUAACCAGGCCAACAUUACAAGUACAAAACACUCAUUUUGUGUUCAGAUGAGGGAAGUUUUGGUAGAGAGAGACAGUUGGAGGUGAAAGAGUGAGUCACUGUGAAGUGAGUCAGGCGAAAAUCGAAACAGGAAAAGUCUGACUGAAACAUGGCUGUAUCGGCUACUGCUGAGUUGUGGACAUCAGAUCACGCGCAGCCCAGCUGUGAAUAAAUUAACCAUCAGUUGAUUGGUGCUAUAUUUAUAAAGCUGACGUUUCAUCACUGUUCACAUUUACAUUUACAUCAAUGUAAGAUGCGUGUUCUCAGUAAACCAGGGACCUUACACUUAGAGCUAUUUGAUUAAGGAAAAUGCCAUUACGCUAUCACCAAGCCUUUAUUAUCUUUCGUUUGGGCUUCCAUUGGAUAAAGACAGCAAUAAUCAUAAUUUAUAUAUUUAUGUUUUCAACAAUAAACAUAUUUCUGCUCAUGAAAA